AUCUCUGACGAGUCCUAAAUAGGACGAAACGCGUGUCCUGGAU
RNAcentral lists this non-coding RNA (43 nucleotides) under Schistosoma mansoni. Lineage: Eukaryota; Metazoa; Platyhelminthes; Trematoda; Strigeidida; Schistosomatidae. The record is from RNAcentral.